GACGUAGGGCGCGAGCGUUGUCCGGAUUUAUUGGGCGUAAAGAGCUCGUAGGCGGCUUGUCGCGUCGACUGUGAAAUCCCGCGGCUCAACCGCGGGUCUGCAGUCGAUACGGGCAGGCUAGAGUUCGGUAGGGGAGACUGGAAUUCCUGGUGUAGCGGUGAAAUGCGCAGAUAUCUGGAGGAAUACCGGUGGCGAAGGCGGCAUCCUGGACCGACAUUGACGCUGAGGAGCGAAAGCUAGGGGAGCAAACGGG
RNAcentral lists this ribosomal RNA (253 nucleotides) under uncultured bacterium. RNAcentral's name for it is "partial 16S ribosomal RNA". It matches the Rfam family "Bacterial small subunit ribosomal RNA", at positions 524 to 776 of the family's 1533-position model. The record is from RNAcentral.